GCCAGGCACGGUGGCGCAUGCCUCUAGUCCCAGUUACUCGGAAGGCUGAGGUAGGAGGAUCGCUUGAGCUCCAGAAUUCUGGGCCGUUGUUCGCUAUGCUGAUCGGUGUCCGCACUAAGUUCGGCAUCAAUAUGGUGACCUUCCGGGAGCGGGGGACCACCAGGUUGCCUAAGGAAGGGUGAACCCGCCCAGGUCGGAAACAGAGCAGGUCAAAACUCCAGUGCUGAUCAGCAGUGCGAUCGCGCCUGUAAAAAGCCACUGCACUCCAGCCUCAGCAACAAAGCGAGACGAGUCUCCU
Molecule: unclassified non-coding RNA, 298 nt
Organism: Callithrix jacchus (white-tufted-ear marmoset)
Lineage: Eukaryota; Metazoa; Chordata; Mammalia; Primates; Cebidae
Rfam family: Metazoan signal recognition particle RNA
About the family: The signal recognition particle (SRP) is a universally conserved ribonucleoprotein. It is involved in the co-translational targeting of proteins to membranes. The eukaryotic SRP consists of a 300-nucleotide 7S RNA and six proteins: SRPs 72, 68, 54, 19, 14, and 9.
Source: Ensembl